RNAcentral lists this ribosomal RNA (1426 nucleotides) under metagenome. RNAcentral's name for it is "bacterial SSU rRNA". It matches the Rfam family "Bacterial small subunit ribosomal RNA". The record is from RNAcentral.
AGAGUUUGAUCCUGGCUCAGGAUGAACGCUGGCGGCGUGCUUAACACAUGCAAGUCGAACGAUCCUUCGGGAUAGUGGCGGACGGGUGAGUAACGCGUGGGAAUCUGCCCUCAGGAGGGGGAUAACGGCUGGAAACGGCCGCUAAUACCCCAUAUGCCGAGAGGUGAAAUGAAUUUCGCCUGAGGAUGAGCCCGCGUCUGAUUAGCUAGUUGGUGGGGUAAUGGCCUACCAAGGCAACGAUCAGUAGCUGGUCUGAGAGGAUGAUCAGCCACACUGGGACUGAGACACGGCCCAGACUCCUACGGGAGGCAGCAGUGGGGAAUUUUCCGCAAUGGGCGAAAGCCUGACGGAGCAACGCCGCGUGAGGGAUGAAGGCCUCUGGGCUGUAAACCUCUUUUCUCAAGGAAGAAGACCUGACGGUACUUGAGGAAUAAGCCACGGCUAAUUCCGUGCCAGCAGCCGCGGUAAUACGGGAGUGGCAAGCGUUAUCCGGAAUUAUUGGGCGUAAAGCGUCCGCAGGCGGCCUUGUAAGUCUGUUGUUAAAGCGUGGAGCUCAACUCCAUUUAAGCAAUGGAAACUACAAGGCUGGAGUGUGGUAGGGGCAGAGGGAAUUCCCGGUGUAGCGGUGAAAUGCGUAGAUAUCGGGAAGAACACCAGUGGCGAAGGCGCUCUGCUGGGCCAUAACUGACGCUCAUGGACGAAAGCCAGGGGAGCGAAAGGGAUUAGAUACCCCUGUAGUCCUGGCCGUAAACGAUGAACACUAGGUGUCGGGGGAAUCGACCCCCUCGGUGUCGUAGCCAACGCGUUAAGUGUUCCGCCUGGGGAGUACGCACGCAAGUGUGAAACUCAAAGGAAUUGACGGGGGCCCGCACAAGCGGUGGAGUAUGUGGUUUAAUUCGAUGCAACGCGAAGAACCUUACCAGGGUUUGACAUCCUGCGAACCCCUGAGAAAUCGGGGGGUGCCUUCGGGAGCGCAGAGACAGGUGGUGCAUGGCUGUCGUCAGCUCGUGUCGUGAGAUGUUGGGUUAAGUCCCGCAACGAGCGCAACCCACGUCUUUAGUUGCCAGCAUUCAGUUGGGCACUCUAGAGAGACCGCCGGUUAUAAACCGGAGGAAGGUGUGGAUGACGUCAAGUCAUCAUGCCCCUUACAUCCUGGGCUACACACGUACUACAAUGCUACGGACAAAGGGCAGCAAGCUCGCGAGAGUUAGCAAAUCCCAUAAACCGUGGCUCAGUUCAGAUCGUAGGCUGCAACUCGCCUACGUGAAGGAGGAAUCGCUAGUAAUCGCAGGUCAGCAUACUGCGGUGAAUACGUUCCCGGGCCUUGUACACACCGCCCGUCACACCAUGGAAGUUGGCCAUGCCCGAAGUCGUUACUCCAACCCUUGUGGAGGAGGACGCCGAAGGUGGGGCUGAUGACUGGGGA